UGUAUUAUAGUGUAUGAUGCACUAAGAAUUUUGAUUUCUUAAGAUUAAGUUUAAUUCUUAAUUAUACAA
Molecule: transfer RNA, 69 nt
Filed under: Maiestas dorsalis
Lineage: Eukaryota; Metazoa; Arthropoda; Insecta; Hemiptera; Cicadellidae
Description: tRNA-Gln
Source: RNAcentral